GACGAACGCUGGCGGCGUGCUUAACACAUGCAGGUCGAACGGAAAGGCCCUGCUUUUGUGGGGUGCUCGAGUGGCGAACGGGUGAGUAACACGUGAGUAACCUGCCCUUGACUUUGGGAUAACUUCAGGAAACUGGGGCUAAUACCGGAUAGGAGCUCCUGCUGCAUGGUGGGGGUUGGAAAGUUUCGGCGGUUGGGGAUGGACUCGCGGCUUAUCAGCUUGUUGGUGGGGUAGUGGCUUACCAAGGCUUUGACGGGUAGCCGGCCUGAGAGGGUGACCGGCCACAUUGGGACUAAGAUACGGCGCAGACGCCUACGGGGGGCAGCAGUGGGGAAUAUUGCACAAUGGGCGGAAGCCUGAUGCAGCAACGCCGCGUGCGGGAUGACGGCCUUCGGGUUGUAAACCGCUUUCGCCUGUGACGAAGCGUGAGUGACGGUAAUGGGUAAAGAAGCACCGGCUAACUACGUG
This 468-nucleotide ribosomal RNA is filed under the name uncultured bacterium. Its description in RNAcentral is "partial 16S ribosomal RNA". It matches the Rfam family "Bacterial small subunit ribosomal RNA", at positions 28 to 507 of the family's 1533-position model. The record is from RNAcentral.